Molecule: ribosomal RNA, 42 nt
Filed under: Pseudo-nitzschia delicatissima
Lineage: Eukaryota; Bacillariophyta; Bacillariophyceae; Bacillariales; Bacillariaceae
Description: partial large subunit ribosomal RNA
Source: RNAcentral
AAGCAAGAUGACCCUCCCAAUUUAAGCAUAUAAUUAAGCGGA